RNAcentral lists this ribosomal RNA (1018 nucleotides) under uncultured bacterium. Its description in RNAcentral is "bacterial SSU rRNA". It matches the Rfam family "Bacterial small subunit ribosomal RNA", at positions 357 to 1376 of the family's 1533-position model. The record is from RNAcentral.
AGGAAUAUUGGUCAAUGGGCGAGAGCCUGAACCAGCCAAGUAGCGUGCAGGAUGACGGCCCUAUGGGUUGUAAACUGCUUUUAUAAGGGAAUAAAGUGAGAGUCGUGACUCUUUUUGCAUGUACCUUAUGAAUAAGGACCGGCUAAUUCCGUGCCAGCAGCCGCGGUAAUACGGAAGGUCCGGGCGUUAUCCGGAUUUAUUGGGUUUAAAGGGAGCGUAGGCCGGAGAUUAAGCGUGUUGUGAAAUGUAGACGCUCAACGUCUGCACUGCAGCGCGAACUGGUUUCCUUGAGUACGCACAAAGUGGGCGGAAUUCGUGGUGUAGCGGUGAAAUGCUUAGAUAUCACGAAGAACUCCGAUUGCGAAGGCAGCUCACUGGAGCGCAACUGACGCUGAAGCUCGAAAGUGCGGGUAUCGAACAGGAUUAGAUACCCUGGUAGUCCGCACGGUAAACGAUGGAUGCCCGCUGUUGGUCUGAACAGGUCAGCGGCCAAGCGAAAGCAUUAAGCAUCCCACCUGGGGAGUACGCCGGCAACGGUGAAACUCAAAGGAAUUGACGGGGGCCCGCACAAGCGGAGGAACAUGUGGUUUAAUUCGAUGAUACGCGAGGAACCUUACCCGGGCUUGAAUUGCAGAGGAAGGAUUUGGAGACAAUGACGCCCUUCGGGGUCUCUGUGAAGGUGCUGCAUGGUUGUCGUCAGCUCGUGCCGUGAGGUGUCGGCUUAAGUGCCAUAACGAGCGCAACCCCUCUCCUUAGUUGCCAUCAGGUCAAGCUGGGCACUCUGGGGACACUGCCACCGUAAGGUGUGAGGAAGGUGGGGAUGACGUCAAAUCAGCACGGCCCUUACGUCCGGGGCUACACACGUGUUACAAUGGCAGGUACAGAGAGAUGGUGUUCUGCAAAGCGCAUCAAAUCCUUAAAGCCUGUCUCAGUUCGGACUGGGGUCUGCAACCCGACCCCACGAAGCUGGAUUCGCUAGUAAUCGCGCAUCAGCCAUGGCGCGGUGAAUACGUUCCCG